RNAcentral lists this ribosomal RNA (433 nucleotides) under uncultured bacterium. RNAcentral describes it as "partial 16S ribosomal RNA". It matches the Rfam family "Bacterial small subunit ribosomal RNA", at positions 29 to 507 of the family's 1533-position model. The record is from RNAcentral.
AACGAACGCUGGCGGCAUGCCUAACACAUGCAAGUCGAACGAGACCUUCGGGUCUAGUGGCGCACGGGUGCGUAACGCGUGGGAACCUGCCCUUAGGUUCGGAAUAACUCCCCGAAAGGUGUGCUAAUACCGGAUAAUGUCUUCGGACCAAAGAUUUAUCGCCUUUGGAUGGGCCCGCGUUGGAUUAGCUAGUUGGUAGGGUAAAAGCCUACCAAGGCGACGAUCCAUAGCUGGUCUGAGAGGAUGAUCAGCCACACUGGGACUGAGACACGGCCCAGACUCCUACGGGAAGCAGCAGUGGGGAAUAUUGGACAAUGGGCGAAAGCCUGAUCCAGCAAUGCCGCGUGAGUGAUGAAGGCCUUAGGGUUGUAAAGCUCUUUUACCCGGGAUGAUAAUGACAGUACCGGGAGAAUAAGCUCCGGCUAACUCCGUG